Molecule: ribosomal RNA, 856 nt
Filed under: Escherichia coli
Lineage: Bacteria; Pseudomonadati; Pseudomonadota; Gammaproteobacteria; Enterobacterales; Enterobacteriaceae
Description: partial 23S ribosomal RNA
Rfam family: Bacterial large subunit ribosomal RNA
Source: RNAcentral
GGGACACGUGGUAUCCUGUCUGAAUAUGGGGGGACCAUCCUCCAAGGCUAAAUACUCCUGACUGACCGAUAGUGAACCAGUACCGUGAGGGAAAGGCGAAAAGAACCCCGGCGAGGGGAGUGAAAAAGAACCUGAAACCGUGUACGUACAAGCAGUGGGAGCACGCUUAGGCGUGUGACUGCGUACCUUUUGUAUAAUGGGUCAGCGACUUAUAUUCUGUAGCAAGGUUAACCGAAUAGGGGAGCCGAAGGGAAACCGAGUCUUAACUGGGCGUUAAGUUGCAGGGUAUAGACCCGAAACCCGGUGAUCUAGCCAUGGGCAGGUUGAAGGUUGGGUAACACUAACUGGAGGACCGAACCGACUAAUGUUGAAAAAUUAGCGGAUGACUUGUGGCUGGGGGUGAAAGGCCAAUCAAACCGGGAGAUAGCUGGUUCUCCCCGAAAGCUAUUUAGGUAGCGCCUCGUGAAUUCAUCUCCGGGGGUAGAGCACUGUUUCGGCAAGGGGGUCAUCCCGACUUACCAACCCGAUGCAAACUGCGAAUACCGGAGAAUGUUAUCACGGGAGACACACGGCGGGUGCUAACGUCCGUCGUGAAGAGGGAAACAACCCAGACCGCCAGCUAAGGUCCCAAAGUCAUGGUUAAGUGGGAAACGAUGUGGGAAGGCCCAGACAGCCAGGAUGUUGGCUUAGAAGCAGCCAUCAUUUAAAGAAAGCGUAAUAGCUCACUGGUCGAGUCGGCCUGCGCGGAAGAUGUAACGGGGCUAAACCAUGCACCGAAGCUGCGGCAGCGACGCUGAUGCGUUGUUGGGUAGGGGAGCGUUCUGUAAGCCUGUGAAGGUGUACUGUGAGGUAUGCU